CAAUAGCGUAUAUUAAAGUUGUUGCAGUUAAAAAGCUCGUAGUUGGAUUUGUGGCGUACGGUGUGUUCCGGGCACUUGUUGUCUGAGUAACCUGCUGUUGCCAUCCUUGGGUGGAACCUGUGUGGCAUUAGGUUGUCGUGCAGGGGAUGCCCAUCAUUUACUGUGAAAAAAUUAGAGUGUUCAAAGCAGGCUUAUGCCGUUGAAUAUAUUAGCAUGGAAUAAUGAGAUAGGACUUUUGUGCUAUUUUGUUGGUUUGCGCAAAGAGGUAAUGAUUAAUAGGGACAGUUGGGGGUAUUCGUAUUCCAUUGUCAGAGGUGAAAUUCUUGGAUUUUUGGAAGACGAACUACUGCGAAAGCAUUUACCAAGGAUGUUUUCAUUAA
RNAcentral lists this ribosomal RNA (380 nucleotides) under uncultured eukaryote. Its description in RNAcentral is "partial 18S ribosomal RNA". It matches the Rfam family "Eukaryotic small subunit ribosomal RNA", at positions 592 to 976 of the family's 1831-position model. The record is from RNAcentral.